Molecule: long non-coding RNA, 1538 nt
Organism: Clupea harengus (Atlantic herring)
Lineage: Eukaryota; Metazoa; Chordata; Actinopteri; Clupeiformes; Clupeidae
Source: RefSeq, a predicted model, not a curated record
AGGGAGAGAGAGAGAGAGAGAGAGAGAGAGAGAGCAGCAACAGCAGCAGCCUUCAGUCCUGCGUGGCAUGGAAUUACAGCUAGCGCCAUUCGCAAGAAGCACAGGAAACAGAGAACACCGGAUCGGAGGAGGAUUGACAGAGUGAGGGAGAGAGAGAGAAAAGCGUUCAGCGCAGCAGACUCGGUGUGAAAUAACCGCGACGGGGCUCAGCUACAGAGAGGACAGACAUGGGUGCAGCCAAGGUGAAGCUAUAGAGAAGAUAAUAUUUCAUCUGUGGACUUAGUCUCACAAAAGCUGUCCAGUGAUGACGGAUCACUCCUCUCUUGUUGUCUACCCGGAGGCUUUUUCCUGCUCCAUCCAGGGCUGUGAGCCGACCCCGAGGUGCUGCCCUUCUGCGCCAUAACCCCUAUAGCGCUCUCAGAAUACCUCAAAACCCCCUGCAGGAUCUCCCACAAUCCACCUGGUUUUCCAGCUGCAAGGAAGUUCUCCCACAGGCCCUGUCGCAGUGAAUUAGCCAUUCCAGACAGGAUUGGUGGCUUUGAAAUCCGGUGUCCAGGGAGACAGAGGGAAAACAAACAAAUUCAUAGAUACCCAACUGGGAUUUGCGGAUAUUCUUGUGUUUGCUGUUGUCGUUGUGGUUUUUCUGCCUGAGUGUUUGCUGACAGAACCAGCCAACCAUUUGGCAUUCCCAACCAGGAUUCCUUUGUGAUGAGGUUCAACCUGGGAGCGGGUUCGAAAUGGAAGAUUCCAAACUUACCCAGUGGACAUCUUGGAGCGAUAUAACAACCUCCUUCUCGGUGCCGGAUUUGCACAGGAAUGAAUGGAUGUAUGCCUGAUCGCUACCUGAAUUUUCCCUCCCUCCAACAGUUUUCCUCUUUUAAUAAUUGCAUUUUGUUCCCCUUGUCUCUCUCAUGCUCCACAUCUGGUGUUCUCUAAUUUGUAUGAAAAAAGGAAUCUCAUAUCAGACCCAGUCUGUUUUUUUUUCUCUCUCCUUCAACCCACCUCACCUAAUAUGAAAGCCCCGAAACAUAUUAAAAGAGCAUCAAGGAGAAGAGGGGGAAAGAUCUGAGAGAUAGAUAGAGUGAACCAGAGAAAGACUGAAAGAAACGAGGAUAGGGAGAGAGGGACUUUCUUGAUAAGCUCCCUCCUUCUUUUCACAUUGAGAAGAGUGGAAUUUUCAGAGGGAGACGGGAAAGAAAAAAAAAGAUGAAGAGGUAGACUGUGAAUGGAGAGAUACGAAGAAUAGCAAGAGAAAAAAAAGAGGUCUGGAGACGACGAGCCCUCAUUUUAAGACAUUCAUUGACUGGGUUACCGUCACUCUGCAGCACCGUGCUACCACUGAACUGGGAGAUAGAGUGAGAGGAAGAAAGGAAGAGAAAAACACAGAGAGAAUAGCUUUAAACGAUUCGGCUGCCCUGCAGUCAGGGGGACAAUUAGGAGGAUUUGAUUAUAUGCCUUAAUUUCCCCAAUCAGGUGCCAGACCAGUGGCAGACAAAUAACUCACAAGACAGACAGAGAGAGUUAGAGAGAAAGAGAAA